UACGGGGGGGGCAAGCGUUGUUCGGAAUUACUGGGCGUAAAGGGCUCGUAGGCGGCCAACUAAGUCAGACGUGAAAUCCCUCGGCUUAACCGGGGAACUGCGUCUGAUACUGGAUGGCUUGAGUUUGGGAGAGGGAUGCGGAAUUCCAGGUGUAGCGGUGAAAUGCGUAGAUAUCUGGAGGAACACCGGUGGCGAAGGCGGCAUCCUGGACCAAUACUGACGCUGAAAAGCGAAAGCCAGGGGAGCAAACGGG
RNAcentral lists this ribosomal RNA (253 nucleotides) under uncultured bacterium. RNAcentral describes it as "partial 16S ribosomal RNA". It matches the Rfam family "Bacterial small subunit ribosomal RNA", at positions 524 to 776 of the family's 1533-position model. The record is from RNAcentral.